GUAGGUAUAGCUCAGUGGUAGAGCACUUGCUUAGUAUGCACGAGGUCCCAAGUUCAAGCCCCAAUACCUCCA
Molecule: transfer RNA, 72 nt
Filed under: Camelus bactrianus (Bactrian camel)
Lineage: Eukaryota; Metazoa; Chordata; Mammalia; Artiodactyla; Camelidae
Also listed under: 1 other name
Rfam family: tRNA
About the family: Transfer RNA (tRNA) molecules are approximately 80 nucleotides in length.
Source: Rfam by way of RNAcentral